UACGAAGGGUGCAAGCGUUACUCGGAAUUACUGGGCGUAAAGGGUGCGUAGGUGGUCUUUUAAGUCCGUUGUGAAAUCCCUGGGCUCAACCUGGGAAUGGCAGUGGAUACUGGAGGGCUAGAGUGCGGUAGAGGGUAGUGGAAUUCCCGGUGUAGCAGUGAAAUGCGUAGAGAUCGGGAGGAACACCAGUGGCGAAGGCGGCUACCUGGACCAGCACUGACACUGAGGCACGAAAGCGUGGGGAGCAAACAGG
This 253-nucleotide ribosomal RNA is filed under the name uncultured bacterium. RNAcentral describes it as "partial 16S ribosomal RNA". It matches the Rfam family "Bacterial small subunit ribosomal RNA", at positions 524 to 776 of the family's 1533-position model. The record is from RNAcentral.